CCCAGACUAACCGAACGCAUACUCUCGCACCCGGGUUGCCCGGUCGACCGGCGCUAUUUUGUACUGGGCUGCCAAAGUGUGUUCGCCGGCGACCAGUAGACAUGGCAAGCGCCAGCUCUAGGGCUCCAAUGUGCGGAAAUGUGCCCGUUCACACGGAUCCAAAGUAGAAGAAGUCAUCUGGGCAUCAUUGCGUCGUGUUUGGAUGCCAAAACAACCAGCGGAAAAGGAGCAGGUUGCUUAGCGCUGUUUGCGAAGAGCACAACACACGUAGGGAAUCGUGCCGGUGCGGUGUUUCCAGCCUGCGCCGAUUUCCAUCCGCAACGAAGAAUGCCAAGCUGCGCCACCGGUGGAUAGCUGCAGUGAAUAGGAAGAACUACCAACCCAGUGAAAAUGCACGAUGUGCAGGUGGUGAAGGGCAGGCGUCUGCUAACCAGGCAGUCAAACGACCUCGCCAGUUGGUUGCCAAGCGCGGCCAACCCAGUAGAGACCAUUACAAACAAGACCAAACUGAAAGUGCA
Long non-coding RNA from Dermacentor albipictus, 518 nucleotides. RefSeq lists it as uncharacterized. Lineage: Eukaryota; Metazoa; Arthropoda; Arachnida; Ixodida; Ixodidae. The record is from RefSeq and is a predicted model, not a curated record.